AUGUCAGAUAUGGAACAGUCCUGCUCAAUGGAUGUAUUGGAGUACUUCUCUCAGAAGAUGAAGCUAAGGAUUUUGCGAUUCAAUGCUCUCAUGGUGGUUAAUGCCAUCUUGAUGGGGUUCAUGGUAGGGAUAGGCGCCUAUGGCCAUCGCUACCGUCACAUUCCGCUGAUCCGUUUCCUCUUCCUGGCUGCCACCACAUUGUUCCUGCCCAUUGUCUCUUAUAUUGUCUCUUCCAGUGAUUUAGGCACUGGCCAGUUGAUCAGCAUGCUAUAUGAUGGUGAGGCCGAGUCCAUAGUCAUAAAAGGGGAUUGUGAAGCAGAUGUUCACACCAUCUUGGUCCUUAUAUGGACGGCUCUUGCUCUGAAUAUUGGUAUAAAUACCACUGCAGUAGUUGCCGCUGAUGCUAGAGAAGGUCGAAGCAUUCCUCCCAAUAUUACGCUACUUAUUCAAGCAAUGUGGGCCUCCUACCUAGUACGAAUAUACAGCACCGUCCUAUAUUAUCAUCCUUACACACCUCUCAACAUAUUGUUGAGAGUCGGGCCAUUUGGUGUUAUAUUUGCCAAACUAGGACUGAAAUGUUAUGCAUGGUACGAAGCCAGAGAAUCAUUAGCCUUUGGACGCAAUCCUCGCCUAAUCGUUGGAUACAUGGAGGUGCUGCAGGAUGGAAGCCUUCAUGCUGAGUUGGCAUGUGAGCAUAUGCCUCCUCCAUUUAUAGUUACCGGAGAGCACACCAUGCAGGUCAAGGAGAAGCCUUCUGGCCACAGAUUAAAGUGGAUGUCCAACAUACUGAGAGAUGAUAUGUACAGCAGAGUGAUAGGUGAUAUGUACAGCAAGGACUUAGUGACCUUUGACAGAGUUUGGCAGUUGAGUGACACACUUCUGAGAUCAAAAUCAUUACAACUCAAAGAGCUAUGCUUUUCGUUCGCAUUAUUUAAACUGUUACGGUGUCGAAUUGCAAGAUAA
Molecule: ribosomal RNA, 963 nt
Filed under: Triticum aestivum (bread wheat)
Lineage: Eukaryota; Viridiplantae; Streptophyta; Magnoliopsida; Poales; Poaceae
Description: partial small subunit ribosomal RNA
Source: RNAcentral